This is a long non-coding RNA of Mugil cephalus (flathead mullet), 2890 nucleotides long. RefSeq lists it as uncharacterized. NCBI's taxonomy places the organism in Eukaryota, Metazoa, Chordata, Actinopteri, Mugiliformes, Mugilidae. The record is from RefSeq and is a predicted model, not a curated record. The transcript is spliced from 3 exons.
UGUGUGUUAUCUUUUCUCAUUUUCGUUCACCGCCUGCAGGCCUACUGUUCUUCCUCUCACCCAGAAGGUAAGAUCAUUAACACUGAACAGAGAACGACGUACUAAUAUUAUAUUGUAAACUCUCUGGAAUUUCUCAUUAACGUAAUGCUUUUUUUCAAGUUCACAGAGUGUUUUAGCUACAGCUGUUAUGGCAGGACUGGGUAGGUCCAGAACCUCCAAGGGCCUCUUCCUCAUCAGGCCUGCCCUAAAGCUUUUAUUCUUGUAUUGAGAUAGUUGUCAUACGACAGCACCACUGAUUGAGUGAGUGUGAAUUCUGCCAUUUGGUGGCACUAUUGAUAUGAUAAUAUAUGUCAGAUUGGCACCAUGUUCAUGCUAACGAAAACUCCUUUAAUGAAGAAAAUAAAGCCUAGCCAGGGCUAUGGUCUGGAUGACUUUUUGUAACCAACAAGUAGCCUGAAUAAAACCAGCGGUGUGCCUCGCUGCUGGGGACUGGCAUUAUUGGCCCUUUCUACAGAAGGGCCACGACCUCUGCCACAAGGGAACUGCCCUGUUGUGCAUGAGAGUGGGAUCACUUAUAGAAAAGUGCGGUGGUCUGGUUUUGAACUUUAUCGAAUCGAGAGGGGCAAACAUUUCAUAAAGACCAGGAAGACUGAAGAACAGCAUUCACUGCACAGAUUAAACAAGAAGAAAAAAAAUAAAGUAUGAUGAAUCCUUGAAGAGGCUCCUGAUCGAAAGUAUAAAACAUAAUUUAUCAAACUGUGGCAACAGCGUGAUGCAUGAGUCUGCAUGGACUCCAGUGUCACAGCAUCACUUGUCACAAAUUUUCAUUGAUCAUUUCAUUAACAAUUUGUUCAGAUCCUUUUGAGGAAAUUGAUAUUCCUGCACCUUUCCUCCUACUAACCUGAAUACAUUUUGGUAAACAAAAAAAAAAACUACAAAACUUACGACACUGUCCGAAGUCCCAACUGUUUAUGGUGCCCUCCUUAUUUGGUUUAUUUGAAUUGUCUAACAUAUUGUUGCUGUCCCAGACCUUGACAGUUCUUGAUGGAGCUACUGAUAAGGUGUUCUCUGUUGUACACCUACAAGUGUUAUCAUAUCAUAAAAGUAUAAUAAACUUCCAUGCCAAUGAAAGUGAAAGGACAGGUUCCUACAGGUGAUCUGUGACGUGACAACAAGAGCGUAUAAAACAUUUUUCAUGUGUUAUCUUUUCUCAUUUCGUUCACCACCUGCACGGUUGCUGUCCUUUCUCUCACCCAAAAGGUAAGAUCAUUAACACUGAGUAAUAUGAGCGUUGUGCUAAACAUUAUUAAAUAUUAUAUUGUAAACUCUGUGGAAUUCCUCAUUAACCAUAAUACUUUUAAUGUGUCAAGUUCACAGAGUGUUUUAGCUACAAUUGUGAUGGCAGGACUGGGUAGGUCCAGAACCUCCAAAGGCCUCCUUCUCAUCUUGUCUCUGCUGUGCCUGGUUCAUGUCGCCAGUUCACAGAUAGACAACGACAGACUUUUUCAGGAUGUUUCUGAGACACUUAAGAAAAUGCUCAUGAAAAAAGUUCAGGAAGCAACAGAAGACCUAAACAAAAUGAAGGUAGCAUACGAGAAGAGACUGGCAGAUGCAUCAAGACAACACAAUGAAAGAAAAAAGCAGCUUGACGCUAUUGUGGAAACAGUGAAGGAAGCAUCAGAUGAAUUUCCACCACUGUUAAAACUGCCGAACAUCCUGAAGCAUGUCGUUGAGAUUAUGAAAGCUGACACAGACAGAACGAAUCAUGCCAUGGCCGCAAAUCUGAGAGAGAAGGAAAUGCGACUACAAAACCUAAAAUUAAAAGCGCAACACCCAGUGCAAUUUUAACAGUUUUAGUUUCCAUCUUUAUGGCUGUAUAAUUUUGUGCUACUUUAGUUUUUAUGAAAUGACCCUCAUGAUCAUGGUGGAUCAUGGUUUCCUCUCCGUUUCUGAAUGGCACGCUAUUUUUUGGCACGUUGUGUAAAACUUUGUGAUAUGAAGGUUUUUACUUUUUGUAGUGAUUUAACACAUCAAAUAUCUUUGCUCAGUGAUAGUCUGCAACCCUAUGUUAAUAUUGUCAGAUGGCAUUGCAGUUCUUAAAUUAGGAUUUUAGUUGUUCCAUUACAUGACAACAGAAAAAUAUCUAAGUGAAAACAGGCCUGUUGGGAACUAUAUUCUAAUCCCUACCAUCAUUACAUCUGUGCACAUCUCAAUACUUUGAAUAAUUUUACACUUCGUUUCUUUGGUCCACAUCAGUGGCCUCCUGCAUUAGUGGCAUCACUGGAUGAUUUGAAGCAAGGGACUGGGACUGCACAGGUCAGCUAGCUCGUCUAGCAUAGCUAAAUCAUAUUUCAUCCAUUCAUUGCAUGAUGAAUUGAAUUCAUAAGUGGUUAGAGUGACAUUUAAGAUUCUACCUCUUGAGCAGAGGUUUGGGAGCACAUCAUCUUGAGGAUUUAAUCAUUUCUCAAGGGGGAAAAGACAAAACUAGGUCAUUCAACCAGGAGUGGUUUAAGCAGAAAACUUGGUUAACCGGAGAUCCUCAAAAGGCACUCGUGAGUCUAAUUAAUGUUUUAAUCUAAAUUGAAAUGAUAAUCUAGUUUACAUAUUGUUUGAAUUAUAAUGGAAUUUGAGUAAUGCGUAACUGGCAAUACAUGUCUGAGGGGACACAACCUCAUGGACUCAUGGAUCUGUUUACCUGUCUGUGAAGCUGAAAUGGCUGUUUGGCUGUGUAGUGUAGUAUGUGUGUUGACUUUGUGUAUUGAUUACUGUGUAUUAGGUGUGUGCCAGUCAGGCCACAUUGUGUGCGUUUUUUUUUUUUUUGUUUUUUUUUGUUUUGUUUUUUUUAAUUGUUGUCACAUUAUUGUUUUUGAUCUUGAGUAUAUGACAUAGU